RNAcentral lists this ribosomal RNA (433 nucleotides) under uncultured bacterium. Its description in RNAcentral is "partial 16S ribosomal RNA". It matches the Rfam family "Bacterial small subunit ribosomal RNA", at positions 29 to 507 of the family's 1533-position model. The record is from RNAcentral.
AACGAACGCUGGCGGCAUGCCUAACACAUGCAAGUCGAACGAGACCUUCGGGUCUAGUGGCGCACGGGAGCGUAACGCGUAGGAACCUGCCCUUAGGUUCGGAAUAACUCCCCGAAAGGGGUGCUAAUACCGGAUAAUGUCUUCGGACCAAAGAUUUAUCGCCUUUGGAUGGGCCCGCGUUGGAUUAGCUAGUUGGUAGGGUAAAAGCCUACCAAGGCGACGAUCCAUAGCUGGUCUGCGAGGAUGAUCAGUCACACUGGGACUGAGACACGGCCCAGACCCCUGCGGGAGGAGGGAGUGGGGAAUAUUGGACGAUGGGCGAAUGCGUGAUCCAGCAUCGCCGCGUGAGUUAUGAAGGCCUUAGGGUUGUAAAGCGCUUUUAACCGGGAUGAUAAUGACAGUACCGUGAGAAUAAGCGCCGGCUAACUCCGUG